UGGGAGUUAUAGUCCCCCCCCCCCCCAAAGGAACUUUGUCGAGUUCUGAUCCCUAAUCACUGAUGUCUUGCAGGUUAAAGGUCCAUAAGUCCAUGAAGAUUGUCAUGAUCUGCUUGAGUCCUGUGCGGGAGAUGUCAUUUUCUGCAAGGUCAGAAAGGGAAAGCAAAGAAUUAGCAGCAGGCAAGGGAACUGAGACGUCUGCCUGGAUGUCGGCCUCAACAGAUAGAUAGACUGAAGAUGACCUCAAGUGCCAGGCUGCAUCCAAACUGGAGUUUUAUAGAGAGGCUUGUGUGCUGUGUGACCAGCUUUGUGAGUCCAAAGAUCUGUUACAGGUUAAUCAUUAACAGGUAUUUGAGAAUCUGGAUUUCCUCUAGAAAAAAAAGGAAGUUGAUAAGAGAAAGCUACUAAAUAUACAGAAGCAUGCACAACUGGUCUACCUCAGAGAGCAAUUGUCCCGUCAUUUCCUUAUGACAAGUGAUUUCAGCUAACCACGAAAAAAGGGUUCGAGCCCGGCACGCUUCGCUACUUCCAGUGGGCCAGAUUCAAGAUACACACUGGGUUUGAAGGCAACAAACAGAAGUUUAUUCAGUCUGGCACAACACUUCGGAAUUGCAAAGUUUGAGAAAAGAAAAUAUAAAAUAAAUGCAUAUUUAAUACAUUUCUGUUCAGUUGUGUUUAAUCGGAAGGGAGGUCAAUUUCACUAUAAGCAGAAAGAACAAAUGCACAGUACAGUCAAGAUGAUUAAACCAAAUUCUUUCUGAAUUUUUGUGUGCAAGUCAAGGGAGAGUUAAGAAAUCUGAAGCUGAAAUCUGAAGCAGGUCAUUAGAAGGAUAGAGCAAAGUGUUUCACCCGUUCCUCUACAUUCCAAAUCCCCUUAAACACACACACAAUAUCAAAUUUAUGUGUGCUCAUAUCCACCGUCUGGUGUCAGGAAUGUUUAGCUGCUGCUUUUAAUCUCCUUUCCUUCAAGAGUCCUCAUGGUCAAACCCAGUGGAAUCAGAGGACAGACAUCUGCCUUGAUUUCCCUGGCUCUUGAUGACUGAGCAAAUACUAAUAAUCUCAGGAAAACUUAAUGUGGACUUUUAAGGGACCUCUUGAAUGGGCUGUAAUUUAGAGAACAAUCAGAAUGACUUUCACUAAAUGUUAGAGCUAUUUUGUGGGCACAACCUGUUAUUUCCUAUGGCUUUCGCCUUAUACUUUUAAAUUAAAUAUAUUGUGGUAUAUACUAUAGUACAAAAGUACAGUUUUCAUUGUGGGUUCUCAGCUGGACUCUCUAGUACCUACUAUAACAAAGUAUCUUUAUUGUUUGUGAAGUAAAUAUAACAGUCCAAGCAAGGUUAUAUAAUAAGUAUUUUUUCAUUGUAUAUAAUGUUUAUUUCAAACAUAGUUAUAGGCCCUAUCUACAUUGCCAUAUAAUGCAGGUUGAACUGCAUUAUAAUGGUCAGUGUAGACUCAUUGUCCGUUCCUGGAAGGUGUAGGACACAAAGAUAGGCUCACACAGCUGGUGGCUAUGGAAACUUUAUUGAAUCCGCCUUGCCAAGAUGACUGCAAAAGUUUCUACUGCCCCUCUUCCACUUUUCCCCUCAGUAUAUUGGGUUGUUGCCUCCCCCCCCCACUUUCUUCCCCAUCCACACCUCCCUUUCCUUUUGUCCUUUCCCACGUUUGAAGACCAGACCCUGUCAUAAAUCAGCCUUCCCCGCCAAAUGGUCUCCUUCCUCUGUCCUCUUGUAGUGAGAUGCGAAAAGAACAGCUUUGAGGAUGCUGUUUUUUUUUUGCAUCCUGACACUCAUAUAUUGCAGAUUGAAGUGCAUUGAACUAGAUUAUAUGUGUCUUCACUGCCAUAUAAUCCAGUUCAAUGCAGUUAAUCUGCUAUCUGAAACUGAAUUAUAUGAAAGUGUAAAUGGGUCCUCUGAUAGGUGACCUUAUCAUAGUUUUCCGGGUAGAAUUUGUUCACAGAAAAUUUGCUCUUGUUUUCCUCUGAGUCCCCAUCGGCAAAUGUGGAGAAGCAACUGUAGUUCUGUUAUUAUCCAGACCAAUAACUUUACAUG
RNAcentral lists this long non-coding RNA (2048 nucleotides) under Anolis carolinensis (green anole). RNAcentral's name for it is "lncRNA (ENSACAG00000038124.1)". Lineage: Eukaryota; Metazoa; Chordata; Lepidosauria; Squamata; Anolidae. The record is from RNAcentral.